Molecule: non-coding RNA, 2925 nt
Organism: Phalacrocorax carbo (great cormorant)
Lineage: Eukaryota; Metazoa; Chordata; Aves; Suliformes; Phalacrocoracidae
Source: RefSeq, a predicted model, not a curated record
GUCCCGCUGGCGCCCCGCACCGCCCCCCGCAGCUGGGCGGCCAGCACCUUCACCGGCGGCCCCGGCGCGGGCCCAGCCAUGCUGUCGCGCCGGGAAGCGCCCGGCUAGGGCGGGCCUGAGGCGGCUGAGGGGACGCCAGUGCCCGCGGCGCGCAGCCGCUGAGGCAGGGAAAGGGCGGGAAGCGGCGCGCGGCCCGACCCGCCCCGGCGGUGGGCGUUCGCGGCGCCUCGGCGGCCACUUGAGGGGUCGGGCGCCGCGGCGCCGCCAUCGGGCAUGGGACGGGGGAAGGCGGAGAUCAGCCUCAGAGCUCGGCGGGCCACUUGGAAGGUCCACAGAUGAAUGGAAAAAAAGUCAUGAAGCGUGGAGCUGAUAAAUACAUGGAUCAUAAUGGUCAAAGAGAAGAUAUAAAAUGGUAACCCGACCUUUCUACUGAACCAAUGGUUGUGAUGAAGACUGCAGUGAGGCAACUAUAUAAAUAUUUAUUUAUCUGAAUACACUUAAAUAAUUAUUAAUGAAUUAUAUUAAAAUAUGUAUUUCAAUUUUUGUAGACGGCUAAAACGUACAUAGUUGGGCAACACAAUGGUUGUUUCUAAUUGUAGCUCUAUUGCCACAAAGGCUCUUCAUUGCUACAAGGGACUGCUCUAUGGCAGCCCUCGAAACUAAACAACAAAACUUGGACUUGAAGUUCAAAUAAGGCCAAAAAGCGACUCUUCAGUGAGUCAAAAAUACUGAAGCCAAAAGCUCAGCAUGCUUUCAGCUUGUCAUGAAAAGCAGCAAUAAAUGAUAAAUGCAAAACCAGUAUGCCUUAUUUUCAAAACCUGACGAGCCCACAAAACCAGACUUGCAGUAGUGCACUCUGUUGAAGAAGCCAACAGUGCUUGUUUAUUCAAAAUAGAAACUGUCAAUAUUUUAAGAGCUGACUAGGAGACAUCAGUUCAGUGUAGAUAGUGUCUAAGAUUCAUGCAAAUGUCCCAUAGCAUAAAGUAGCUGGACAGAACAGGUAUGACAGACAGUGUGUGCACAUUUUUGCUUGCACCUUUAGAGUUUUGAUGUUCCAAGCACUUAAAUUCAAAUAAUUUCAAAUUUUGUACAGGAGCAUUUGAAGAUCUGUAGGUCUGCUACAUUUUAAUUGCAACAGAUAUGAAUUUCAGGCAACAGACACUUCAGAAUGGAAAAGGACGGCACACAGCCUCAGAUUUGCAAGGCAAAGUGCAAAGUUCGUCAGAGUACUCUGGCUGCCGGUUACAGCUUCAUUUACGAGAAACUGUGCAGCGUGAAAGUGAAAGGUACAAAGUAGUUUCUUUUUUCGUAUCUACACAUCUCUCUAGUCUGACUAUACAUUACCUCGACUCUUUUAAAAGAUAAUACUGUGAUUACUAACAAACAAUCCUGACAGAUGUGGGUUAGGUAUUUUCAUUUUCAUUGUUUUCAUUGAUUUUAAGGCAGAGGGAGAAUUGAAUAGUUGAACCUACUGUUUGACAGACACCACUGAUUUAUUUGCAUUCUGGUACCUGUGGCUCUUCCUUUGCUGGGAACUCAGUGGUGUUUCAGUCCACUGCACACCACAAGAGCCUCUAGCGCUCACCAGUGGAGCUAAGGAGUCUGAAGCACAGUCAGUAUUGUGUUCACACUGUCAUUUGAUGCAAUCCCUUUUACCCUAAUUUCUGCCAAAUCAAAUACUAGGGUGAACAUCUGGGCAAUGGCAAAAAUAUUCUCUAGCCCCCUUUUUUUUCCUCCAUCCAGUUUAGUUAACAGUGACUAACCACAUUGAUGAAGGAAUUAAUAGAUUAGGGCAGACAUUUUUCCAAUGCAACUGUGCUGGCCCCAAUCACUCCCCAGUUCCACUGCUCCGCCCUGCCUGGUAAAGUUAAGCAUUCAGGUAUAUAGGUUAGAUUCAGUAUAUAUAACAUGGGUAGAGUUCAUAAAAUACUUUGGCUAGCCCAGUUAAAUUACGGUAUAUGCUACCUAUAAAACCAGCACUACUCAGUAUCAAUCUACUGUUUCUUCUGACCUGGGCCCUGUUCUGAAAGGUACACAGUGCCUUCUGAGACAUGCUACAUACUUUAAUCCUUCUUUGGUAUCAGCCUGAGUAAUGGUCAUAAGCGACUUGCAAAAUCAAGGCUGGAAGGAACAGUCCUUAUUAAGGAAAUCUCUAAAGUUCACAGUCACAUGAGUGUUCUUUUAAAGAGUGCCACAUUUUACUCAAAGCUGGCAGUAUUCAGUGAAUCUCCCUUUUGCUUGUGGCUAUUUUCCCUUCUGUUUCUUACAAAUGUCAUUGUACUACCCUGGAUUCUGGCUGGACUUGUGAUUAGCUAGGGCAAACAGAAAUUCCAGCCAAAGGAAACAGAACUGAAAGUAAUUAGAGAAUCUUUUUCAUUCAUCCUCUGAUCUGUAAAAUAUAUAGAUGUGUUUCCUUCUAAAGGCUGCAUUUCCCAGCUGUAAAACAAUAAAGCUCCCUCCGCCAGUACUUCUGCGCUUUUCAUCACACAGCUGUGGAGUGUUGCUAACUGAUAACAUUUGUAAAGAAUGCUUGUAAAGUCAUAAAAGAAGAAGUGUCAUGAAGUUCUUAAGUCCUAAAAUGGGGGGAAAGAGAAAGUUUAAGUUUCUGGUCUUGAGUUUGAAGCAGUUUGCAUGUUUUGCAAUGAUCUCAAACUAUAGUUUAUGAUCUGUAAUCUUGCAUUAAGCCCCAUUAAAUUCCUGGUAUAUGAGUAGGAAAGGGUGUACUGUUGCUUUGUUGUUUCAUCAGUAAAGUUGCAGACAGAUGCUUUAGGAGAAAAGCUUUUAUCUUUCCUGGUAGCCAUUUCUUGUGCAGGCACAUACUAAAGAACAAGUUUCCAUCAUGGCUUUCAUUUCGCUGGUUUUCAGUCACGGUUUUACAUUAUAUGUAAAUGUCUGAAUAUACAGCACCUCAACUUAAUAGCUCUA